RNAcentral lists this ribosomal RNA (497 nucleotides) under uncultured bacterium. RNAcentral's name for it is "partial 16S ribosomal RNA". It matches the Rfam family "Bacterial small subunit ribosomal RNA", at positions 28 to 507 of the family's 1533-position model. The record is from RNAcentral.
GAUGAACGCUGGCGGCGUGCCUAAUACAUGCAAGUCGAGCGAACAGACGAGGAGCUUGCUCCUCUGACGUUAGCGGCGGACGGGUGAGUAACACGUGGAUAACCUACCUAUAAGACUGGGAUAACUUCGGGAAACCGGAGCUAAUACCGGAUAAUAUAUUGAACCGCAUGGUUCAAUAGUGAAAGACGGUUUUGCUGUCACUUAUAGAUGGAUCCGCGCCGCAUUAGCUAGUUGGUAAGGUAACGGCUUACCAAGGCAACGAUGGGUAGCCGACCUGAGAGGGUGAUCGGCCACACUGGAACUGAGACACGGUCCAGACUCCUACGGGAGGCAGCAGUAGGGAAUCUUCCGCAAUGGGCGAAAGCCUGACGGAGGAACGCCGCGUGAGUGAUGAAGGUCUUCGGAUCGUAAAACUCUGUUAUUAGGGAAGAACAAAUGUGUAAGUAACUAUGCACGUCUUGACGGUACCUAAUCAGAAAGCCACGGCUAACUACGUG